GAUGAACGCUGACAGAAUGCUUAACACAUGCAAGUCUUUGGCGAAGCUGUGCUUGCACAGCCUAGCCAAGGCGGACGGGUGAGUAACGCGUCAGGAACUUGCCCUGCAGUCAGGGAUAACAGACGGAAACGACUGAUAAGACCUGGUAAAGUCAGGCGGACUCAUGUCCAGCCUGAUGAAAAGAGAUGCUGCAGGAGAGCCUUGCGUUCUAUUAGCUUGUUGGUGGGGUAACGGCCCACCAAGGCGAUGAUAGGUAGCCGGCCUGAGAGGGUGGACGGCCACAAGGGGACUGAGAUACGGCACUUACGCCUACGGGAGGCAGCAGUGGGGAAUAUUGGACAAUGGGGGCAACCCUGAUCCAGCAAUUCUGUGUGCACGAUGAAGGUUUUCGGAUUGUAAAGUGCUUUCAGCAGGGAAGAAAAAAAUGACGGUACCUGCAGAAGAAGCGACGGCUAAAUACGUG
This 463-nucleotide ribosomal RNA is filed under the name uncultured bacterium. Its description in RNAcentral is "partial 16S ribosomal RNA". It matches the Rfam family "Bacterial small subunit ribosomal RNA", at positions 28 to 507 of the family's 1533-position model. The record is from RNAcentral.